Molecule: long non-coding RNA, 323 nt
Filed under: Pan troglodytes (chimpanzee)
Lineage: Eukaryota; Metazoa; Chordata; Mammalia; Primates; Hominidae
Description: long non-coding RNA NONPTRT013199
Source: RNAcentral
UUACAGUUUUGUAAGUAAGAAUUCUAGAAGAGUGCAGCUGGUUUUUCAACUCCAGGUCUGACAAGGUCAAAAUCAAGGUGUCCUUUGGCCUGGGCUCUUAUCUGGAGUCCCUGAGGGAAGAUUUGAUGUUUAAUUCUUUUCCCUUACCAGACUGAAUGUUCCAAGGAGGCAAAAUGGCAGACUUUAACUGUUGACAUGACCUCCUUGGAACAUUCAGACUGAGAACUACCUGUAAUUGGAGCGAAAAAAAUCUUCUUUUGGAAACUCCUUAAGAUAAAGUCUGCCUUACUGCACCCUACUGAGGUGAGGAUUUCUUCAGAAGA